CGGCGAUGAAGUAUUGGAAGAGGGCAGCUGAGUCUCGGCUCGGACGUCGAAGGGAAUCCUGUCUCUGAUUGGUCAGCCUACGGAAGGCUGUGAUUAAAGAGACAGAAGUGCUGCUCAAAGCAACCUGACUUAAAAGAUGGAAGGGAGGAGGAUUUGGGAAGUGAUCGGGUGCUGCAGGAAUUUUGUGCUGAUGGAGCCUUCCAACCGGGUACAUGCAUGCAAGACUUAAUCGAGAUGUGGAAAAUAUGGAAACAACGAGGAUAGGCAGGACUGAGAUCUGGAUAUGCUUCAAGGUCCAGACUAUGGGAAGCCCCGAAAAAUUAAUAAUUAUAAUUUGGAUGGUAAUUUGGUCUUUUUUAUUUUAGUUUUUUGUUUUAAUUGGAUUAUGAUUUGAAAUGUUAAUU
This 404-nucleotide long non-coding RNA is filed under the name Podarcis muralis (Common wall lizard). RNAcentral's name for it is "lncRNA (ENSPMRG00000009282.1)". Lineage: Eukaryota; Metazoa; Chordata; Lepidosauria; Squamata; Lacertidae. The record is from RNAcentral.